AGACAUGCAGUCGAGCGGUAACAGGGGGUGCUUGCACCCCGCUGACGAGCGGCGGACGGGUGAGUAAUGCUUAGGAAUCUGCCCAGUAGUGGGGGAUAGCCCGGGGAAACCCGGAUUAAUACCGCAUACGUCCUACGGGAGAAAGCAGGGGAUCUUCGGACCUUGCGCUACUGGAUGAGCCUAAGUCGGAUUAGCUAGUUGGUGGGGUAAAGGCCUACCAAGGCGACGAUCCGUAGCUGGUCUGAGAGGAUGAUCAGCCACAUCGGGACUGAAACACGGCCCGAACUCCUACGGGAGGCAGCAGUGGGGAAUAUUGGACAAUGGGGGCAACCCUGAUCCACCCAUGCCGCGUGUGUGAAGAAGGCUUUCGGGUUGUAAAGCACUUUCACCGAGGAGGAAGGCUCUAAAGUUAAUACCUUCCGGGAUUGACGUUACUCACAGAACAAACACCGGCUAGCUCCGUGCCCUGGAUGGCGGUGAUACGGAGGGUGCAACGGUUAAUCGCAAAUACUGCCCGUAGAGCGCGCGUAUGUGCUUAGGUAAGCGAGAUGUGAUGGCCCCGAACCUAGCGGGCGAACGGCCUUUGCGACUGUCUGACUGCAGUGUGUGAGAGGCUAGUG
This 620-nucleotide ribosomal RNA is filed under the name bacterium SCS_30Z0_45_2. RNAcentral's name for it is "bacterial SSU rRNA". It matches the Rfam family "Bacterial small subunit ribosomal RNA", at positions 51 to 663 of the family's 1533-position model. The record is from RNAcentral.